Non-coding RNA from Rattus norvegicus (Norway rat), 70 nucleotides. The record is from Rfam. Lineage: Eukaryota; Metazoa; Chordata; Mammalia; Rodentia; Muridae.
GGGGAUUUAGCUCAGUGGUUAGAGCGCUUGCCUAGGACGCGCAAGGCCCUGGGUUCGGUCCCCAGCUCCG